ACCCGAAGCCGGUGGCCGAACCGAAAGGAAGGAGCUGUCGAAGGUGGGUUUGAUGAUUGGGGUGAAGUCGUAACAAGGUAUCCCUACGGGAACGUGGGGAUGGAUCACCUCCUUU
Ribosomal RNA from Clostridiales bacterium CHKCI006, 115 nucleotides. It matches the Rfam family "Bacterial small subunit ribosomal RNA", at positions 1419 to 1533 of the family's 1533-position model. NCBI's taxonomy places the organism in Bacteria, Bacillati, Bacillota, Clostridia, Eubacteriales. The record is from Rfam.